Long non-coding RNA from Taeniopygia guttata (zebra finch), 2291 nucleotides. NCBI's taxonomy places the organism in Eukaryota, Metazoa, Chordata, Aves, Passeriformes, Estrildidae. The record is from Ensembl.
AUCUUAACUAUUUUAUUUACUAUUCAAAAUUCAAAUUGCUUAACUGUUUUAUCUUCAUUAGUCAUCUAUUUAAUUUUAUUCUUGUAAGUCUUUUAUUCUAAUACACCUAAUGUGUUUUUAUAUACCUAAUAUGUUCUAAUACAGCAUAGUACAGAUACAAGUGUUGUGCUCAUAAAAGCUAUUGAGUCACUGAGUGGUAGAAUCAUGCACAUUUUUAUGCUUCAUUACAACAUCAUAAGUCAAACACAAAUGACAUUCUGUCAUUUGCUGCUUUGACUGCAGUGUAAAAUGAAAAAAACAUGAAGAAGCUAACCAAAAAGAAAAAAAAAUUUCCAAUGCAUUUUCUUACAAGGAUUGGAAAAAUCCACAGAAACCAAAUCAAAUGAAUCAUGAGAUAACACAUAAUUAUCUUUCAGCUCCUUUAUUGUCUGUGUUUAUGGCAUGAAGGUUUUUCACCCCAUGAAUUGUAUCUCUCUUUAAUCAUGCAUUCUGCCUUCUAUCACCUCCUCACAUCUCACAGACUGAGCAGGAGGAGGAUGUGUCACUGUGAAAGCUACACAGGUAGCAUUAAAGUAAGGACAGCAAUUGGGAGGAUUAAUUUUUCUUAAGUGAUGUGUGGGUGACUCAGGGCUUCUGGUUGGAACUACUCCACCUUUGAGAUGAGAGCAUGAAAGAAAAACUGUCUCUGCCAUCUGAGUGCCCAUGGCCAGACUUGCAUUCUGCUUUUGGCACUGCUGUGCCACAUUGACCCUAACCCCAACAGUCCUGCAGGUGUAAAGGAAGCGUUUCAGUCUGACCAUCCCACUCCCAAGAUUCACAGCAGUUUAUGAAUGUGUCAGAGAUAAUUUCUUUAAAAGAUACAUAGAAUAAGUGGGUUGCAAAAUGUUACAGAAUCCAGAUACUUUCACAAUGUAAGCUUGUAGCUGCAGGUCAAGUCUGUCCUUGAGCUAAAAGACACAUGGCAGCAGCAGUCAGUCUUCUGAAUCCCCUGUGCUUGUAUCAAGGCGGGGUCACUGCCAGUCAGCCUAGAGAUGCCUCAUGUGGAUUCCCAUUGCAGGUCUUGAGACAUGUAUAGUAAAUGGAUAUUGGUAAACCCAGUCUUUCAACCCUGGAUGUGCUUUGGUAAAGAUCAAAGAUGUAUAGAAAUGGAUUAUCAUCAGAUGCAUUAACGGCUGAGUCUUUGAAAUUAAAAUCUCAAAAAAGAAAAAGGAAAAUGUAUAUAUUUGUUUGUAUAUGUAUAUGUUUGUCAGCUGCAGUGGGUAUCUGAGACUGACCAAUAAGGACAAGAUUUUUCCUAUGUGCUCUUAAGAAAUGUAUGAAGCAAUUAUUUCUGACGUGUUAUACAUGUGCUAUAUUUAAGAUUAUUGAGGCUACUGAAACUGUAAGGUAUGUUCCCCCACAUCUUUUUCUGCUUUCUCAUACUGACGCAUCCCGGAUCUCAUCACUCACUCUGCUCAGAGCUGGGAGACACUGGCCCAAGCUGUGGAUUCCCCUGGAGGACCCAAGGACAUGGAGGCUCAAUGCUACAACUAUUUUCCAGAAAUCAUGAUUCUGAAUAAUGCCAAAGUGCUUGUAUGCUUUUGGGAGCAGAGGGUGGGUCUGCAGUCAUGUAAUGAAACUCAGGACAAAUAUUCACACAUAUAUGCAGCAGGAAUCUUGAUUCCCUGAAGAUGCGUGAGGUAGAAGGUGGGUUUCUAGUCUCCUUGUCCUCCUUGCAGGAUCAACACUCCACUUCUUCCAAGUAUUGAAGUGGGAGCCCUAUAUCCAUAACUUCCCAGGGGCAGAUCAGCUGAGCUUAUGAUGGUUGCUCACUGGAGGUUGACAAUGGGACACUGGCAUCAUGUGCAUGUCACCUGGGCAGGAGGUGGUGCAGAUGAGAAGCAGAUGUCACAUGAAGCCCAGGUGCCUGGACCCUUAACCUGCACAAGCACAUGUUGGGUAUUUGGUUCUCUUCUGCUACUCUGAAGUGGGACAAUCCUUGUUUCCUAAAACACUCAUCUGUUUUCACCUUGGAUUCAGUGCGUUUCACAUUGCUCAGAAAGACAGACAUUUCCAGGGAAGACCGAUCCUGCUGUGCCUGUGCAGGACCAAGAACAUGCAUGAACAGUAAAGAUGCUGAUCCCAGGAAGUGCCAGAACGAUGAUGUGCUCAGUUAGCUCAUCCAGUUCAAAGACUGAGGAUCAUGUGAAGCAUCUUGGCUGGGAUGAUGCUGUGUCCUAUGGUAGUAGAGCCAAGGACCAAGUUUACUUGCAGACUGACUUGCAUGCUGACUGAAUGCUUCCAGAGACAUA